RNAcentral lists this ribosomal RNA (492 nucleotides) under uncultured bacterium. RNAcentral describes it as "partial 16S ribosomal RNA". It matches the Rfam family "Bacterial small subunit ribosomal RNA", at positions 29 to 507 of the family's 1533-position model. The record is from RNAcentral.
AGUGAACGCUGGCGGUAGGCCUAACACAUGCAAGUCGAACGGCAGCACAGUAAGAGCUUGCUCUUACGGGUGGCGAGUGGCGGACGGGUGAGGAAUACAUCGGAAUCUACUUUUUCGUGGGGGAUAACGUAGGGAAACUUACGCUAAUACCGCAUACGACCUACGGGUGAAAGCAGGGGAUCUUCGGACCUUGUGCGAUUGAAUGAGCCGAUGUCGGAUUAGCUAGUUGGCGGGGUAAAGGCCCACCAAGGCGACGAUCCGUAGCUGGUCUGAGAGGAUGGUCAGCCACACGGGAACUGAGACACGGUCCAGACUCCUACGGGAGGCAGCAGUGGGGAAUAUUGGACAAUGGGCGCAAGCCUGAUCCAGCCAUACCGCGUGGGUGAAGAAGGCGUUCGGGUUGUAAAGCCCUUUUGUUGGGAGAGAAAAGCAGCAGGUUAAUACCCCGCUGUUCUGACGGUACCCGAAGAAUAAGCACCGGCUAACUUCGUG